Molecule: ribosomal RNA, 869 nt
Filed under: uncultured archaeon
Lineage: Archaea
Description: bacterial SSU rRNA
Rfam family: Archaeal small subunit ribosomal RNA
Source: RNAcentral
CUCCCGGUAGAUCUUGCCGGACCCGACUGCUAUCAGAGUGGGACUAAGCCAUGCGAGUCAACGCCGCAAGGCGUGGCAUACGGCUCAGUAACACGUAGUCAACAUGCCCAGGGGACGUGGAUAACCUCGGGAAACUGAGGAUAAACCGCGAUAGGCCAAGGUUUCUGGAAUGGACACUGGCUGAAACCUAUAUGGCCCCUGGAUUGGACUGCGGCCGAUCAGGCUGUUGGUGAGGUAAUGGCCCACCAAACCUGUAACCGGUACGGGCUUUGAGAGAAGGAGCCCGGAGAUGGGCACUGAGACAAGGGCCCAGGCCCUAUGGGGCGCAGCAGGCGCGAAACCUCUGCAAUAGGCGAAAGCUUGACAGGGUUACUCUGAGUGAUGUCCGCUAAGGGCAUCUUUUGGCACCUCUAAAAAUGGUGCAGAAUAAGGGGUGGGCAAGUCUGGUGUCAGCCGCCGCGGUAAUACCAGCACCCCGAGUGGUCGGGACGAUUAUUGGGCCUAAAGCAUCCGUAGCUUGUUCUGCAAGUCCUCCGUUAAAUCCACCUGCUCAACAGAUGGGCUGCGGGGGAUACUACAGGGCUAGGAGGCGGGAGAGGCAAACGGUACUCAGUGGGUAGGGGUAAAAUCCUCUGAUCCACUGAAGACCACCAGUGGCGAAGGCGGUUUGCCGGAACGCGCUCGACGGUGAGGGAUGAAAGCUGGGGGAGCAAACCGGAUUAGAUACCCGGGUAGUCCCAGCUGUAAACGAUGUAGACUCGGUGAUGGGUUGGCUUCGAGCCAACCCAGUGCCGCAGGGAAGCCGUUAAGUCUGCCGCCUGGGGCGUACGGUCGCAAGACUGAAACUUAAAGGAAUUGGCGGGGGAGCA